This 372-nucleotide unclassified non-coding RNA is filed under the name fungal sp. RNAcentral describes it as "partial internal transcribed spacer region". The stretch from base 1 to 46 matches the Rfam family "Eukaryotic small subunit ribosomal RNA", at positions 1786 to 1831 of the family's 1831-position model. The record is from RNAcentral. Lineage: Eukaryota; Fungi.
AAGUCGUAACAAGGUUUCCGUAGGUGAACCUGCGGAAGGAUCAUUAUUACGUAUCCACGUAUCAACCCAAUCGUGAACUGUUUCCCGUUUGAUGAGGAUUUCUGCGACCAUUAGAAGCUCAUAAAAUGCAUGAUGAACUGUGGAGAGGCUUCGGCUUCAACGCAGUCCGAGCUGGUCGGUCCUGGAUCUGAGGGAAGCUUUCGAGUUUUCUUUCAGGUCUAGCUCAUCAAAAUGUGGUUUUUAUUUCUUCAUCAUGCGCAACUAUUAACCCCUUGUAACAAAAAUUGAACUAACGAAUGGCUACCCCAUAAAAAAGGGUGGUUAAAGACCGAAAUUAAGAAACAACUCUUAACAACGGAUAUCUUGGUUUUC